RNAcentral lists this ribosomal RNA (506 nucleotides) under uncultured Glomeromycotina. Its description in RNAcentral is "partial small subunit ribosomal RNA". It matches the Rfam family "Eukaryotic small subunit ribosomal RNA", at positions 591 to 1092 of the family's 1831-position model. The record is from RNAcentral. Lineage: Eukaryota; Fungi; Glomeromycota.
CCAAUAGCGUAUAUUAAAGUUGUUGCAGUUAAAAAGCUCGUAGUUGAAUUUCGGGAUUGACGUGAUGGUCGUGCCUUAAGGGGUAUGAACUGUCGCCGUUGAUUUCUCACCUUCUGGAGAAGCUCGAUGUCCUUAAUUGGAUGUCUUGUGGAACCAGGACCUUUACCUUGAAAAAAUUAGAGUGUUUAAAGCAGGCAUUAUGCUCGAAUACAUUAGCAUGGAAUAAUAGAAUAGGACGGCAUGGUUCUAUUUUGUUGGUUUCUAGGAUCACCGUAAUGAUUAAUAGGGAUAGUUGGGGGCAUUAGUAUUCAAUUGUCAGAGGUGAAAUUCUUGGAUUUAUUGAAGACUAACUACUGCGAAAGCAUUUGCCAAGGAUGUUUUCAUUAAUCAAGAACGAAAGUUAGGGGAUCGAAGACGAUCAGAUACCGUCGUAGUCUUAACCAUAAACUAUGCCGACUAGGAAUCAGACGAUGUUAAUUUUUUAAUGACUCGUUUGGCACCUUACG